GGGUCGGUGGCGUAGUGGUCAUCGCGUCUGUCUUACAUGCAAUUAUUCCUUUUCGUGUACACAGAAGGUCGCCAGUUCAAUCCUGGCCCGACUCA
Panus rudis PR-1116 ss-1 is the source of this 95-nucleotide non-coding RNA. The record is from the annotation of a GenBank genome assembly. Lineage: Eukaryota; Fungi; Basidiomycota; Agaricomycetes; Polyporales; Panaceae.